RNAcentral lists this ribosomal RNA (311 nucleotides) under uncultured eukaryote. RNAcentral describes it as "partial 18S ribosomal RNA". It matches the Rfam family "Eukaryotic small subunit ribosomal RNA", at positions 1470 to 1796 of the family's 1831-position model. The record is from RNAcentral.
CCCCUAGACGUUCUGGGCUGCACGCGCGGUACAAUAAUACGCACAGCGAGUAUCACCGAGCUCGAAAGGGCAAGGUAAACAAUAGAAAAGGUACUGUAAUGGUUAUAGAUCCUUGUAAUUAUUGAUCUUCAACGAGGAAUUCCUAGUAAGUAUGUGUCAUCAUCACGCACUGAUUACGUCCCUGCCCUUUGUACACACCGCCCGUCGCUCCUACCGAUUGAGUGAGCCGAUGAAACUGCCGGAUGUGGACUAUUCAUAGUCUGCAGAAGAUAUUUGAAUCGUAGCGCUUAGAGGAAGGAGAAGUCGUAACA